CAGAGGGGCAAGCGUUGUUCGGAAUUACUGGGCGCAAAGGGCGCGUAGGCGGCCUGCUAAGUCGAACGUGAAAUCCCCGGGCUCAACCCGGGAACUGCGUCCGAUACUGGCAGGCUUGAAUCCGGGAGAGGGAUGUGGAAUUCCAGGUGUAGCGGUGAAAUGCGUAGAUAUCUGGAGGAACACCGGUGGCGAAGGCGGCAUCCUGGACCGGUAUUGACGCUGAUGCGCGAAAGCCAGGGGAGCAAACGGGAUUAGAUACCCCGGUAGUCCUGGCCCUAAACGAUGAAUGCUUGGUGUGGCGGGUAUCGAUCCCUGCCGUGCCGAAGCUAACGCAUUAAGCAUUCCGCCUGGGGAGUACGGUCGCAAGGCUG
Molecule: ribosomal RNA, 371 nt
Filed under: uncultured organism
Description: bacterial SSU rRNA
Rfam family: Bacterial small subunit ribosomal RNA
Source: RNAcentral